UACGAAGGACCCAAGCGUUAUCCGGAUUUAUUGGGUUUAAAGGGUGCGUAGGCGGGUUAUUAAGUCAGUGGUGAAAGCUCCUAGCUCAACUGGGAAAUUGCCAUUGAUACUGAUGAUCUUGAGUAUGAUUGAGGUUGGCGGAGUGUGUCAUGUAGCGGUGAAAUGCUUAGAUAUGACACAGAACACCGAUUGCGAAGGCAGCUAACUAAGCCAUAACUGACGCUGAUGCACGAAAGCGUGGGGAGCAAACAGG
This 253-nucleotide ribosomal RNA is filed under the name uncultured bacterium. RNAcentral's name for it is "partial 16S ribosomal RNA". It matches the Rfam family "Bacterial small subunit ribosomal RNA", at positions 524 to 776 of the family's 1533-position model. The record is from RNAcentral.